AUGCACUGGUCAGGACGAGUGCCAUCAUGUCGAAUAGGCCCUUCAUCCUCAACCUGUAUUGCGACCACUAUGUGCACAACUCGGCGGGGCUCCGCAAAGGGAUGUGCUACAUGCUCGACCGCCGCAGCGACCGUGUCUGCUACGUGUAGUUCCCGCAGCGGUUCGAGGGCAUCGACCCCAAUGAUCGGUACGCCAACCACAACCUCAUCUUCUUCGAUGUCGCCAUGCGCGCCAUGGACGGGCUGCAGGGCCCCAUGUAUGUCGACACAGGCCGCAUCUUCCGCCGCACCGCUCUGUAUGGGUUCAGCCCGCCGCGCGCCACCAAGCACCACGGCUGGCUCGGCAGGAAGAAGAUCAAGUUGUUCCCGAGGAAGCCCACCAUGGGGAAGAAGACGGAUAGUGAGCUGGUCAUGGCGUUUUUGCAAAAGACACCCCGGAUCGAGUAGUAUUCACCCUAGGAUCGACUACGUGGCGGUCAAAGCCUAG
RNAcentral lists this ribosomal RNA (486 nucleotides) under Triticum aestivum (bread wheat). Its description in RNAcentral is "partial small subunit ribosomal RNA". Lineage: Eukaryota; Viridiplantae; Streptophyta; Magnoliopsida; Poales; Poaceae. The record is from RNAcentral.